CCCCACCCACCUCGCACACCCCCCUCCCCGCUCCCGAUCCAGAUCGGAUCGGGGCCUCCCCGCGCCCGCCCGACGCCAUCCGCGCUGGCCCUAACACCGCCGCCCCUACCCCGUCGAUCCUCCUCCCGCCGUCCCUCGUCGGCGCCUGGGCGCGUGCCCCUCGCUCCCCGCGACCGUACCGUUGCCUCGCCCCGAUCCCGCGAACACCACCGAUGCCCAUGAGGCCACCUCGAUGGCGGCGCCCUCCGGGGGCCUCCACCGCCGGCCACGGCAUCGCCCCGCCACGCCGUCCUUUCCGGCGGCUCCUCACCGCCUUGCCCCGAGCCCACUGCCUGCCCUACACCCGCAUGUGAGGGGCCCCGCACCCUCUCCUCCUUGCCUUCUCUCAACCGACAACAACCGCCCCCCUGGCCAUCACCACCGGGCACUGGCACCGCCGGUGACUGGUUCUCCCCUCGCCUCACCGGCCGUGCUGCAGCCCGUCGCAGCCGCUGCCACGCCUUGGCCGCACCUCGCUGCUCUACCCACGCGCGCGCCCGUGCGUGGUCACACCCUCCGCUCGCCCCUGCUCGCGCUGCUGCGGUUCUCUGCCUGCUGCUGUUUUGCGUUGCUGCUGCCGCUAGUUACUACUCCGUGCUGUUGCUUAUUCGCUGCUAUAGCUAGCCGCUACUGCUGCCGUUUUGCCAUGCUGCUGCCCAUAGCCGUGCGUACUACUUGGCACAACCGGAGGGCUAACUAGCCCAUUGCCCAGUGGGGAAUAAACCCCUUGUAUUAGCUAUUUUUUGGCUAAUCCCACCCCUGACAGUGAAUGACAUACACGGCCUCGCACCCCCCUCUCUGUAUGCGUUUUAGCUAGUUUUAAAAAAAGAAAGUAAAUUACAAAAUGAUUAUGUAUAUAUAAUUAGUUUGAUUAAUUAAUUAAGAAUCUAGUUAAUUAAUUGAAUCUCGAAUUAAUUAGAUUAAUUAACCCCUGGGUCUAUGACAUGUGGGCCCAGGUCAUUAGCUCCAAUGACUAUGUCACUUUAAGUUAGAAUAAUUAGUUUAGUCUAAUGUGACACUCACUUGUGGGGUCCAGCCCCAUUAACAAGAAAUUGAACCUAUUAAUUUAAUUCUAUCCAUUCAUUAACCUAAUCAGGAAUAACACAUGGGUCCCACAUGCUAAUUAAAUUUGUUAAUUAUUUAUUAAACCUGGAUUUAAAAUGUGUGUAUGACAUAGUGGCCCUAGUGGUCAGUUGACCAGUUAAACCUGCGUGUUGACUGCUGAUGUCAGCCACAUAUCCGAGAAAUAUCAUCUGAUAUUUUUCCCGAUGCGUCUAUGACGAAUGACAUUAUGUUAGCUCAUGUCUAGCCCUGCAUAUUGCCAUGUCAUGCAUCAUGUUGCACCUGUUACUGUUGUUUAUUGUUUCUUCCCCCUCUUCUUACCGGUAGACCUCGAGACUAACACUAUUGUCGGGUAUGACUAUGCUCCUGACGAUCAUCCCUUUGCCGUAGAGCAACAAUGCAAGCAAACCCCCCUUGAUCAUCACUAUAUCACCUCUUUAUUUCUCCCACAUGCUUGCAUUAGAACUUUUGCUACUGCUGUAGAUAGAUCCUAUUCUCAUGCAUAGCCUAUUUUUGAUGAACUGCUAGUUUACCGUGCCGCAAUCUAAACUGUUUAGUAUAGGUGGAGCAGUAAUCCCCUUUGCCCCCUUAGUCGAGUUGCCCUGCUUUAUCGUCAAGUCUCGAUCAACUGAUCGACUAGACAAGACCCGACACAUUACUCACACCCCCCUAUGUUGUACUCCGAUGUUAGCGUUGUAGUGUAGUUGACCGGCGGUGGUUCUCGGAGGGUGAUUUCCUCAUUCACCACUUUCGAUAACGACUCUGUCGUACAACCCAUUAGGCAUGUCCCAUCGAGGGUGAUUCCUCCCUGGCCACCUUGACGGUUACAUCGUUCAGAAUCCAACGAGGGUGAUACUCCGAAUCCCCCUGAUGUUACAACCACACAUUUACUUGACCGUGUUACUGGAACAUUGAUGAAUAAAUUUUUGGCGGGUGGGUUCCCGCGUGGAUGUGUCGAUGAGUUAAUUAAAAUGUUAAUGGAUAUGGGUAUUUGAUCUGGGUUGGUCGGAGACCUUAUUCGCACUAACCGUCUACGUGGGAGAAGUUAUGUGUACUCGACAUCAUGGUAUCUCCAGAAGCUCUUCAUACGUCAACAAUGGAGCGGCGUGCACCCGAGUGGUCUGGAUUAUCACCGUUCUUUUAUAAGAGGUGCCAGGACUGACGUCGGCCGUCCUCGCAUCGUGCAGGAGUGCAAAGGGUGAUGGGCCCAUGACCCCCGCGUGCUUAGGAUUUAGACCGGCGGGCUGGCCUCUCUGUUGAGUCUAGGUGGGGCUGCGACGUGUCGAUGUUCUGAGGCCGAGCAUGACCCAGGAAAGUGUGUCCGACCAGAGUUUAUCGAGCUUGACGGGGAAUAUGUGGUGCACCCCUGCAGGAAUGAAAAUUAACUAUUCGGAUAGCCGUGUCCACGGUCACAGGACGACUUGGAGUUGUGUCCCGAUCUUAUACAACUACAAUUGUUACUUAACUAGAAUGUUUGCUCCGGGUUUGCUUCCUCGCAGGGAGUCGAGGAAGAAUCUCUGAGCGUGACAUUAGUUAAUAUUGUUGCCACAUUAUGACUAUUAAUUGUGUUACUUGCUCUACUCCCGUCUAUUGCUGCAAGACCCCUGAAGAUGCUAGUCUUCGAUAGGACUAGGCCUUCUCUCUCUAUUCUCGCAUUGCUACAGUGAGUCCACCUAUAACCCCUUCCGUUGAUACUGAUGCAUACUUAGCAUAGUUCUGAUGUCAGUCUUGCGAGUAGUUUGGAUGAGUACUCACCGUUGCUUUGCUCCCCCUCUUUUCCCCUCGAUCUGUUGCUGUGACCAGAUGAUGGAGCCAAGUAGAUGGCAUAUCCCGCCGACGGUGAUUGUUGCCCCGACGGUGCCUACUACUACAUGGAGGCCGCUGACGACCAUGAGUAGUUUAGGAGGUUCCCAGGCAGGAGGCCUCGCCUCGUUCGAUCACUGUAUCUUUUGUGCUAGCCUUCUCUAAGGCAUUAUCAUGUUCAUGUCUGUACUCAGAUAUUUGUUGCUUCUACUGACUCGUGUGUUUAUUGAGCUCCUGUAUCCUAGCCCUCGAGACAUUUGGCUUGUAAUAUGAAGCUUGUAUGUUUUUAUUUGAAUCGAGAGUUGUGUUGUGAUAUCUUCCCGUGAGUCCUUGAGCUUGGUCGUACAUAUUUGCGUGUAUGAUUAGCGUACGAUCAAAUCGAG
This 3287-nucleotide long non-coding RNA is filed under the name Hordeum vulgare. RNAcentral's name for it is "long non-coding RNA (HVUL_LNC003863)". Lineage: Eukaryota; Viridiplantae; Streptophyta; Magnoliopsida; Poales; Poaceae. The record is from RNAcentral.